UAAAAGCAACCUAAGGAGCUUUGACUUUCCGAGCAAACAAACGAAGAGAGAAAUGCCGAUUUAGAGAUCAGGAUAUAAUGGAAGCACCUAAUAGACGGGAACACAAGGAAACGGAAUGAAUUUCGAUCACUCACAUCUCCUGGCCCGAAAUACCACGGUUUAACAUGCGUUGUUCUGUUAUUACGAUCGUCUUUUGAACAUUAUGGCGACCACGCGAGCAGACAAACUUCAGCCUGAGGUUGAAUGUGAAACAAAGAAACGUCCUGCAAUGUUUGAUCACCUUCCACCAUUAACAGUCCCACAGCCUGCAUACAGUGAAAAGCCGAGGAUAGUUGAGUAUGGAGCGUACACUAAAGCUGCACCUGUCAAGGAGAAGCAACACUAUAGAUAUGCCAGUGACUCCGUCGCCAAUAACUACACGCCUUCAGCUCAAACUCUAACAACGAAGCUCAUCUACAAAAAACACAAACAUGGGAGUGCUCCACCGACCCGCAGGAAUAUCGGACAGAAAAAGAGGCCCGGACAGUCGGAUACACGAAGUGAUAAAACCUACCAUUACACGACGAACAACUCAACAUCUCCACCGGGGACAUUCUCUUUGUUGUCAAAGACUACUUACACUUCAAAUACCCCAGGGGCCUCUACCAGGCUGGGUUAUACCAAGGGCAACUAUAGCUCAACACGAACAAGCCCCACAAGAGUUAAGGGCCCUCGUAGUGAGAUCGAUGCUUCGGAGGGUAACAAAAUCAUCGGACUUGACAACUCUAUUUUAGCGAGUACCAAACCGCCUACAAUGAAGCGCGUUCGAUCGGCAGGGCCUUCAUUGAAUACUGAAACUACAUCGGACAUGCGCGAUAGUGGUUUUCAUGGUCAUGACGAGACACCAGCGGAAUCGCUCGAUUUGAAACGGCCAAAAGUCGCAUGGGGUAGCCCCCAGGGUGCGGACGAGGAAAUCGCCUCCAAUGGCCACGAUGUGAAUGGGAAUACUGUGGGGGGAGGGGUAGGGAGCAGCUUAAAGGGGGCAAGAGACUACGAUGAAGAUACGCAGUCUGUUCUGAGUAUAAGGUUUCCACCGGCAUCUACUGUGACGCUUGGUCUUCCGCGGGCGGUCCUACCUUCAGAGUCACAGGAGAAAAGGUAUUAUAACCUGGCAGAGAAUUCCAUCAGUCCCAGCAUGGUCGCUCCAUUGAGCGAGGAAUGGAAGCAAAAGGCGCAUGACUUCGUGGCUAAAGAACUCCGCGACACGCACAAGUCAACUCUGCACAGCCUAGAUGAAGAAAUGGAAGCGGAGUACGUAAAAAGCGUGAAGAAGAGCAUUCUGGACUAUGUCCUGCUCGACCCAGCGGAACAGAGAAGACUAGGGCUACACAUGCCUGAACAGUCUGUCUUUUCUGCCGGUAGGGAGCCCUAUCCAUGGCACGAGCGGGUAGUAUUGUGCAAAGAGCAGCUAGAACAACACUUGUUUAUCACUCAUCCCGUGUUAAGGAACCUUCUAUACCUCUGGGAAACACAAUUUUCCAAGCUACGUUUAAUAGAUAUUGCAGGCCUUCAGUCAUCCCUCCCCCUGAGAGUAGAGGAUUUGUAUCGCCAUGUACAGGACACAUGUUCACAGGGAUCCCACAGGCUGAAGGAGGAGUGGAUACCAGAAUGUGUCCGUAUAAUAAGUGAAGCUAGGGAUGAAAUCGAGGAUAUCAUGCCAGAUACAGAGGAAGCCCGCGUUCAGAUGAUGGACCAUUUUUUCGCUUGUGUCGCGUCACUCAUGUCCAACAACCUUCGCAGUUGCGUGUACGCAUCCAUUGAGGAUCUACUGUCAUUCAUUGGCGCCUAUCACCAUGGAAACGACUUUGAGGGGGAGUUUGCACGUGGCCUUCCCGUGAAACCGCAACCAAUACUACUCACCGUGAUUCCAGACAUGGAUGACGUCACGGUCGCAUUUGACCCCACCUUCGCCAUAGUGACCGGGACACUUCACUCCGUGGUGGAGGACAUGGUGACUAGUGUCCAGGGCCUUGAGCGAGUGGAGCAUCAGCUGUUUUACGAGGAGGACUGGAUGAAAGGGAGGCACAUAAACGCGGUGGGGCUCGACGAGGAGCGCGUAGAAGGGGCCAAGGCCAUGCUCGCAAAGGUCGUAGAAGCUAACAGCGCUGGACCUCUCAAGUUCCGCAAGGUGUACGACGCGUUCCGUUAUCUUUUGAACCUAGACUCCGACCGUCGCACGGCCAACUUCAUACAGGGAGACCACCACUUGUUGCAGUACGGGCGAGAGUUGGAGAAACUUUAUUCACUGUCAAGAGCCGCGGCAUCCAUGGACCUCACCAUUCCCAUGGAGCUAUUCGAGAUUCACUGUAAAGGCAUGAACGAGUUCUUGACCAAGCGUGCCGCGGACCUUGUGGACGUGAUUGUGACCAAGCUGACCAAGCAAAGCUUAGCGUUUAACCGGUCCAUAUGUACUAAGUAUGAUCACAUCGUCGUGCGCGUCACGACACACGCCAAGACGACAGACGAACUGGUAGACUUGGAGAAAUACCUCGAAAAUAUACGAAGCGGGCCUUUACUACUUCUUAAGACCGAGCUCGAUGAGGCCGCUGAGCUUGUGCUGUUUAUCAUGGACCACACCUUCCUGACCGACGAACAUCUUCACUUGAACGAGACGACUUUCACGUGGCCGGAGCGCAUCCUCCCUAUCAUUGAAGUCAGUGAAACGCGCAUCAGUCGCGAACACGAGACGCAGUUAAACAAGCUGUUUGAUUGGCUCGCCAAGUUCGAGAAGCAAUUGAACGACACCCUGGCCAGCAUCAAGGACUUCCACUCCAAGGACAGGAUCUCUGAGUCCAAAACGUACCUCGGACUGCUUGACCAACUGAAUGAGCAAGUACAGAAAUACCUGGACGAGAGGAAGAGGAUCAACAAGGAGGAAGAUCUCUUGGGCGUGGAGAUCCGCAGCACCUUUCCUCAGAUCAGCGAGAUCAUCGACGCCAAAGAGCCGUUUGACAAGCUGUGGCGCGCUGUCGUCCGGUUUCACGACCACCAGGAAGGUUGGCUGUCCGGACCACUACUGAAACUCAACGCGGAAGAGAUAGAGGAAGAAGUAUCAGAUUUGUGGCGCACGAGUUACAAGCUGACCAAAGAGUUCGCAGGCUCAGCUGACCUUCGCGGCCCUCUUCGCGUGGCGUCCACAGUAAAGGCCAGGCUGGAGAACUUCAAGAUCAACAUGCCACUCAUCCACGCGCUAUGCACGCCGGGAAUCAAGCAAAGGCAUUGGGAGAUGAUGAGUAUGAAGGUUGGGUUCAAUAUCGCGCCCAAAUCGGACACGACGCUCAACGAGAUGUUGGCUCUGGGUCUCGAGAAGUUCGUCGAUGACUUGGCGGAGAUUAGCGGGCGGGCGGCCAAGGAAUUCUCACUUGAAAAGGCGAUGGACAAGAUGCACCAGGAAUGGAAUGGAAUGGAAUUCGCGUUUGUCGAGUACAAAGACACAGGAAUCAGCAUCUUGUCUGCCGUCGAUGACUUACAGGUCCUGCUUGAUGAUCACAUUGUGAAGACCCAGACAAUGAAGGGCUCGCCGUUCAUUGGUCCGUUUGAAGCUGACGUCAAAGAAUGGGAAACCAAACUGAAUCUGAUGCAAGACAUCGUGGAGUCAUGGCUUAAGGUUCAAGCUUCAUGGCUGUACCUGGAACCUAUCUUCUCGUCUGAAGAUAUCCAAGCGCAAAUGCCGGACGAGGGAGGCAAGUUCAGGACCGUCGACAAAUACUGGAGAAAGAUCAUGACGGAGUCGGUGAAGAACCCGAACGCUUUGGUGGUCACGGCUCAGCCGGAGAUGCUCGACAGACUUCAAGUUUCUGAGGGCUUGUUGGAAGACAUUCAAAGAGGGCUCAAUGACUACCUGGAGAAAAAGCGACUUUUCUUUCCAAGGUUUUUUUUCUUGUCUAACGAUGAGCUGCUCGAGAUCCUAUCAGAGACCAAGGACCCACUUCGUGUUCAACCUCACCUGAAGAAGUGCUUUGAGGGAAUCGCCAAACUCGAGUUCAACGAUUCGAAAGAGAUAAACGCCAUGAUAUCUACGGAGGGGGAGACGGUCAAGUUCUCCAGGAAGAUCAUUCCUGCGAACUCACGCGGACUCGUGGAGAAGUGGCUACUUGAGAUCGAGAAGAUGAUGAAGCUGAGCCUACGAGAGGUGACAGCGGAAGCUGUUGCAGCCUAUCUCCAGUCCCCGCGCACCGAAUGGGUUCUGUCGUGGCCUGGGCAGGUUGUACUAGCAACUGGGAUUAUAUACUGGACCCAGGAAGUCACUCAGGCGAUGCCGCGGCCAAACGGUCUUGGGGACUACUACAAGCACAGCACCCGACAGAUUGAGGACAUCGUGGAGCUGGUCCGCGGUAAACUCACCACUAUGGCCCGUAUCACAUUGGGUGCGCUUAUUGUCAUCGAUGUACACGCACGUGACGUUGUGGCUAAGCUGGUGGAGGAUCAAGUGACGGACCCCGCGGACUUCCAGUGGAUCAGCCAGCUGCGGUAUUACUGGGAGAGUAAGUCCGUCAUGGUCAAGAUGAUCACCACCACUGUCAAGUACGCUUAUGAGUACCUCGGGAACUCCGGCCGUCUGGUCAUAACACCACUAACGGAUCGCUGCUACAGGACGCUCAUGGGUGCGCUGUUACUGAACCUUGGAGGUGCACCCGAAGGGCCUGCCGGGACGGGAAAAACGGAGACUUGCAAGGACCUCGCUAAGGCUGUGGCGAAACAGUGUGUGGUUUUCAACUGUUCAGAUGGCCUGGACUAUAAAGCCAUGGGAAAGUUCUUCAAGGGUUUGGCGCAGUCUGGCGCCUGGGCCUGCUUCGACGAGUUCAACAGGAUUGAGCUAGAGGUCCUGUCAGUUGUAGCCCAGCAGAUUUUGACCAUUCAGCGCGCGGUCAUGGACCAAGUGGCCAAGUUUGUGUUCGAAGGCACGGAGAUUUCACUCGAUCCAACUUGCACCAUGUUUAUUACCAUGAACCCUGGCUACGCCGGACGGGCCGAGCUACCGGACAACCUCAAGGUGUUGUUCCGCACAGUGGCGAUGAUGGUGCCGGACUAUGCGCUCAUCAGUGAGAUCAGUCUGUAUUCUAUGGGGUUCGUGAACGCGCGAAGUUUGUCCGCAAAGAUCGUUGCCGUCUACAGGCUUUGCAGUGAGCAGCUUUCGUCUCAACACCAUUAUGAUUACGGAAUGCGAGCCGUGAAGUCGGUACUGACGGCAGCUGGAAACCUCAAACUUAAAUUCCCGCAACAAAGCGAAGAGAUUCUAAUGCUGCGGUCCAUUAUGGAUGUCAACUUACCCAAGUUCUUAUCUCAAGACUUACCUCUGUUCGAGGGCAUCGUCUCGGAUCUGUUCCCCGGGAUUCAGCUGCCGAACCCUGAGCAUGGGGUCCUGGAGGAUGCCAUCGUGGCCAACAUCAGGCGUCUGGGACUGCAGCCCGUACCGUGGUUCAUCGAGAAGAUCAUACAGAUUUAUGAGAUGAUGUUGGUUCGUCAUGGGUUCAUGAUCGUGGGGGAUCCCCUUGGCGGCAAGACUUCGGCUUGGAAAGUGCUUGCGGCGGCGCUCACGGAGAUGGGAGACGAUGAGUUCUCGGGAGAGUCACCGCUGAUAGACUACGGAGAAGAUGUGGAAGAUGAAGAUGAACAGAAAGACAUGACUGUUUAUUAUCGCAUCAUCAACCCCAAGGCGGUGACGAUGGGGCAAUUGUACGGACGAUUCGACCCAGUCUCCCAUGAGUGGUCUGACGGCGUCCUGGCGAACACGUUUCGUGAGCACGCCUCCUCCACAUCACAAGACCGCAAGUGGAUCGUGUUCGAUGGGCCGGUUGACGCCGUGUGGAUUGAAAACAUGAAUACCGUACUGGAUGACAAUAAGAAGCUUUGCCUGAUGAGCGGUGAGAUUAUUCAGAUGAGCAACAGACAAAACAUGAUCUUUGAGCCCCAAGACCUGGAGCAGGCGUCACCCGCCACCGUGAGCAGGUGCGGUAUGAUUUACAUGGAGCCUAUUCGACUCGGAGUAGAGCCCUUGGUGACGUCAUGGAUGGAGAGUGAGUUUCCCGCCAACCUUUCACCUGCACACAGGGAGGCCAUUCAGCUGAUGUUCGACUGGCUCUUGCCUCCGAGUACAGACUUCGUCCUCAGGAACUGCGUCGGUUUCGUCAAGAUGUCGCCCAUGCACAUGACGAAGGCAAUGCUGACCUUAUAUGGAACUCUACUGGACGAGCUCAGAGAGGACCCUAUCGAGUCUAUGAAAUCAGAGAUAAAUGAAGAUUUUGAGGACGAAGAGUCCCAAGAGGAGAGGGGUGGGGCAGACGAGAAGCCCCCGCGGUCCGAGGCUGAGAACAUGCAAUGGCUUCAGUCACUGUUCCUGUUCUCGUUGUGCUGGUCCAUUGGUGGUCACUUGGACAGAGAUUCCAGAGAGAAGUUCAGUGACUUCAUCAAGGUGCUGGUAGCGGGGACCAACAAACAACACCCAAGACCUAACAACCUGAAGCUUCCUAAGAGUUAUCAGUUCCCCGGAAAGGGUUUGAUCUACGAUUUCUUUUUUGACAAGUCGACAUUCGGCACAUGGCAUCCGUGGGAGAAGAACGUUCCCGAGACCGAGAUAACCGCGAAUACCAAGCCAAAUGAAGUGAUGAUAGCGACAACAGAGACAGUACGUCAGCAGUACUUUCUAGAACUGAUGAUAACACAUGAGAAACCGCUCCUGCUGGUAGGGCCGACGGGGACCGGGAAGACCGCCAUCACAAACCACUACGUGCUUAAAAUGCCUUCCGACGGAUACAUCGCCAACUUUAUGAACUUCUCGGCGCAGACGACAGCUAAUCAGACCCAGGACCUCGUGCUCGCUAAACUAGACAGGCGGAAGCGUGGUACGUACGGUCCCCCACCUGGUAAGAAAUGCAUUGUGUUUGUCGACGAUCUCAAUAUGCCUGCCAAAGAAAAGUAUGGUGCCCAGCCUCCUAUAGAGGUGCUUCGCCAUUGGGCCGACCAUGGAUACUGGUUUGACAGGAAAGACACGUCUAUGCUCCACCUGGUAGACCUGUUACUGCUGGCCGCCAUGGGGCCUCCUGGAGGGGGAAGAAAUGAGAUCACCCCUCGCUUCCUCUGCCACUUUAACGUGGUGUCCAUUGACUCGUUCACCGUCGAGACUAUGAAGAGUAUCUUUUCCGUCAUCAUGGAUUGGCACUUUAACCGGGGAUUCGAAAAUCAGCUGCGAAGGUUCUCAAAGAUCAUGAUUACUGCAACGAUCGAGAUCUACACACAAGCCAUCACCAGCUUCCUUCCCACCCCCUCCAAGUCACACUAUGUGUUCAACUUGCGUGACUUUGCGCGUGUGGUACAGGGGAUCUUACUUUUCCCAGGCCCGUGCGCAAGUGAUGCCGGGAAGAUCAUGAGGCUCUGGGUACACGAAGUCUACCGAGUGUUUUACGACAGACUUGUUGACCAGGAAGACCGCCAGUGCUUCUUUGAGAUGGUCAAGACUGUGUUGGCAAACGAGUUCAAGGAAAAGAUCAAUAACGUGUUCCAGCACCUGACACCACGCGGAGGGAAUGUUACAGAUGAUAACCUGAGGAGCCUGUUCUUUGGUGAUUUUGUGGACCGUAAAGCCAACCCCCGACUUUACGACGAGAUUCAAGACAUGGAGCAACUCAGCGAGGUGAUGGAAAUCUACCUGGAUGACUACAACAUCUCUUCUAAAGCCCCAAUGGACUUAGUCAUGUUCCGCUUUGCUAUCGAGCAUGUCUCGCGGAUCUGUCGCGUACUCAGACAACCAAAUGGACAUGCCUUACUUGUAGGUAUCGGUGGAUCCGGUCGAGCUAGUGCCACCAAGCUUGCAGCCUUCAUGUCGGACUACGAGCUGUUCCAGAUCGAGAUCGCCAAGACGUACACUUUCAUGGACUGGCGAGAGGACGUUAAGCGCAUGCUCAGAAGGGCUGGCGACGAAGACGUGUCUACCGUGUUCUUGUUUGGGGAUCACCAGAUCAAGGACGAAGCAUUUCUUGAAGACAUCAACAUGAUCCUGAAUACGGGUGACGUGCCGAACAUCUACGAGCACGACGAGAAAGCCGAGAUUAUAGAAAAGAUGCAGUCGAUCGUCCAGGAGCGCAACCUCAAAGUGGAUUCCAGUCCUCUCGCCAUGUACAACUUCUUCAUCGAGCGCGUGCGCAGAAACCUCCACGUGGUACUCGCCAUGAGCCCUAUCGGCGACGCCUUCAGGAAUCGACUGCGCAUGUUCCCUUCUCUCAUCAAUUGCUGUACAAUCGACUGGUUUCAGGCGUGGCCAGAAGACGCCCUUGAGAUGGUGGCCAACAAGUUCCUGGACGAGGUGGAAAUGUCCAGGGAGGUCCGACAGGAGUGUGUGUCCAUGUGCAAGCACUUCCAUCAGAGCGUCCGAUCAAUCUCCGAGAGAUACUUCGCGAUCCUACGACGUCAUAACUACGUCACACCUACGUCAUACCUUGAGCUCAUCAAGACUUUCAAGUCUCUGCUGGAGAAGAAAAGGCUUCAGAUUCUCACCAUGAAGAGCCGCUACCUGAAAGGGCUUGACAAACUCGACUUCGCCUCACAGCAGGUGGCCAUCAUGCAGCAGGAACUCCAAGAGUUACAACCGGAGCUUAUCCAGACGAGCAAAGAGACAGAAGAUCUCAUCAAAAUUAUCGCCGAGGAGACGCUAGAAGUCGAGGACAAAAAGCGGAUUGUACAAGCUGACGAGGAAGAGGCUAAUAAGGCUGCCAAAGAGUCACAGGCUAUGAAGGACGAGUGUGAAGAAAAGCUCGCUGUAGCGAUGCCUGCAAUGAAUGCAGCUAUUGCAGCGUUGGACACGCUCAAGCAACAAGACAUUACUCUCGUCAAGUCCAUGACGAACCCCCCUGCAGGUGUAAGGAUGGUCAUGGAGGCAGUUUGUAUACUCAAGGGGGUAAAAGCAGAGAAAAAGAACGUGGAUGGCAAGCAGAUCGAAGACUAUUGGGCUUCCUCAAAGAAGCUUCUUAGCGACAUGAAGUUCCUUGAGGGUCUGAAGGUGUAUGACAAAGACAACAUCCCCGCUGCUUACAUUCGCAAGAUCCGAGAGAAGUACAUAAGCAACCCUGACUUCCAUCCCUCGCUCAUCAAGAAUGUCUCGUCAGCAUGCGAGGGCUUGUGCAGCUGGGUCCGAGCAAUAGAGGUCUACGAUAGGGUUGCUAAGCUCGUAGCGCCGAAGCGCAAGCGUCUAGAGGAAGCGGAGGCUACGCUAGCAGACCAGAUGGCGCAUCUGAACGAAAAGCGAGGCGAGCUCAAGAAAGUCGUCGAUAAACUUGACAACCUUAACGAUGACUACAAGGCAAAGAUCGGCAAGAAACAGGAGCUGGAGCGGAACAUCACAAUGUGCUCCAAGAAGCUCUUGCGCGCCGAGAAGCUGCUGAGUGGACUUGGGGGAGAGCGGACACGCUGGACCCAGGUAGCCAAGGAGUUGGAAUCUACUUACAUCAACAUCGUGGGCGAUGUGCUGCUAUCUGGAGGCAUUGUGGCGUACCUCGGGCCAUUUACUGUCGAGUUCAGGCAGGAAUGCAUCAAGGAGUGGUGGAGCCUUUGUCGGGAGAAGAACAUUCCGGUAUCUGACGUCUUCUCGCUCGCUGCCACACUCGGGGACCCUGUGGUAACAAGAUCCUGGCAUAUUGCCGGGCUACCUGUGGACAAUUUUUCCAUCGAUAAUGCGAUCGUUGUGUCGAACUCUCAACGCUGGCCGUUGAUGAUCGACCCUCAAGGCCAGGCCAACAAGUGGGUGAAGAACAUGGAGAGGCCCAACAAGCUUCAGGUCAUCAAGCUGUCGGACGCUAACUAUGUGCGCACUCUCGAAAAUAGCAUACAGUUCGGCACGCCCGUCUUGCUUGAGAAUGUUGGCGAAGAACUCGACCCGCUGCUUGAGCCUCUGCUCCUGAAACAGACUUUCAGACAGGGAGGCAUAGAGUAUCUCCGUCUGGGUGAUCACUUGGUUGAGUUUAGCAAGGACUUCCGGUUCUAUAUAACUACGCGCCUGCGCAAUCCACACUACCUACCGGAAGUCUCCAUAAAGGUCACGCUGCUCAACUUCAUGAUCACGCCUCUCGGUCUAGAAGAUCAACUGCUGGGUAUCGUGGCCGCGAAAGAGAAACCGGAGCUCGAGGAAAAGAAGAAUGCGCUCAUCCUAGAGAGUGCGCAGAACAAGAAACAGUUAAAGGAAAUCGAAGACAAGAUCCUCGAAGUGUUAUCUACGAGUGAGGGGAACAUCCUUGAGGAUGAAACUGCGAUUGAGAUUCUGUCUUCAAGUAAGAAACUGUCGGGAGAAAUCUCUGAGAAGCAAGAAAUCGCAACGAAAACAGAAAAAGAAAUCGACGAGACGCGCGGGGGAUACAAACCGGUCGCCAAGCACUCGUCCAUAUUGUUCUUUACCAUCUCGUCCCUGGCAAACAUAGAGCCGAUGUACCAGUACUCGCUAACAUGGUUCAUGAACCUCUACCUCCAGUCGAUAAACAAUAGCGAGCGGUCACCGGACCUUAACAGAAGAAUUCGAAACUUAAACGACCACUUCUCUUACAGCGUGUACGUGAACGUGUGCAGAUCGCUGUUCGAGAAAGACAAGCUCCUCUUUUCGUUUCUUCUCUGCAUUGGAAUCCAGCAGGGAAUCGGCAAGAUCAACGAGCAGGAGUGGCGGUUUCUUUUGACGGGGGGCGUGGCCUUAGAAUGCAAAUUCCCUAAUCCAGCCGCUGAUUGGCUGACAGACAAGUCAUGGGCGGAGCUAGUCCGCUGCUCAGACCUCCCUGCCUUCAGUGGGCUCAUGAAGCACUUCUCGGAGAAUUUGGAAACGUGGAAGGCGUUUUACGACACUCCCAGCCCCCAGUCCGAGCCGCUGCCUGAGCCUUGGAAUGAUGACCUGAACCGCCUGGAGCACCUGAUCGUCCUGCGCUGCUUGAGGCCCGACAAGGUGACUGAAGCAGUCCAGGACUACAUCGUGUUCCAUAUGGAGGGCAAGUAUAUCGAGCCGCCCACCCUUGACCUCGCCAAGUGUUACGAGGACUCCGACUGCUGUGUACCGCUUAUCUUUGUAUUGUCUCCGGGCGCUGAUCCCAUGGCCAGCCUCCUGAAAUUCGCCGAGGACACAGGUAUGGGGAGGUCGCACGUGCAGACAGUAUCGCUCGGACAAGGGCAGGGUCCUGUCGCCGGAAAACUUAUCGCUAACGCGCUGGUGGACGGAGACUGGGUCGUGUUACAAAAUUGUCAUCUCGCCAUCUCCUGGCUCCCUGUGCUGGAGAAAGUCUGUGAAGAGGUUAUCAUCCCUGAAAGGACGCAUAAAAAGUUUCGCCUUUGGCUGACAAGCUAUCCCACAGACAGGUUCCCAGUUUCUAUUCUACAAAACGGUGUGAAGAUGACGAAUGAGCCUCCAAAGGGACUGAGAGCUAACCUCCUGCGCUCAUACCACAGCGACCCCAUAUCGGACCCAAGCUUCUUUAAUGGAUGCAACAAACCUAAAGUUUGGAAGAAGCUUCUGUUUGGUCUGUGUUUCUUUCACGCGUCUGUCCAGGAACGUCGUAAAUUCGGUCCCCUCGGCUGGAACAUCCCCUACGAGUUCAACGAAUCAGAUCUUAGAAUAAGUGUCAAACAGCAACAGAUGUUUAUCAACGAGUACGAGAAGACGCCGCUGGAUGCGCUCACAUACCUGACCGGACAUUGUAACUAUGGCGGACGCGUUACGGACGACCGGGACAGGCGGUUGAUCAUGAGUUUGCUGUCAAUAUUCUAUUGCCCAAAAGUGAUAAGCGACGAUGGCUACAAGUUCUCUCCAAGUGGCAGCUACUUCGCACCACGAGAGGGAUCUUACGACUCGUACCUCGAGUACAUCCGGGGCCUACCUCUAACUCCACACCCAGAGAUUUUUGGUCUUCACGAAAAUGCUGAUAUUACAAAGAAUCAGCGGGAGACACAACAAUUGUUUGACGGCAUCUUAUCUACUUUACCCAGACAGACGUCUAGUGGGGGAAAGUCUUCACAGGAAGUCAUUGAAGAGCUGGCCGCAGACAUCUUGUCUAAGAUACCAUCAGACUUCAAUACCGAGCAAGUGCAGAAAAAGUACCCUGUGAGAUAUGAGGAGUCGAUGAACACUGUACUCCUACAAGAGCUCAUCAGGUUCAACCGUCUAACUCGAGUCGUUCGCUCAAGUCUUCAAGACAUCAAGAAAGCCAUCAAGGGCUUGGUUGUCAUGUCAUCAGAGUUGGAGGAUGUUUUUGGGAGUAUGCUUGUAGGCAAGGUCCCCGCGAUGUGGGCGGCCAAGUCCUAUCCCUCGCUGAAACCGCUGGGCAGUUAUGUCACGGAUCUCGCUGCGCGGAUCACCUUCUUCAAGAGCUGGAUUGAUCAUGGACCGCCAAACGUCUUCUGGAUUUCCGGGUUCUAUUUCACGCAAUCUUUCUUGACAGGAGCGACGCAAAACUUCGCGAGAAAGUACAAGAUUCCCAUCGACCAUCUCGGGUACGCCUUCGACGUGAUGGACGACAGCGAUGACCUCGACGGAAAACCGGUUAGUACAUGUUAGUUCAGGUAAAACCGGUUAGUACAUGUUAGUUCAGGUAAAACCGGUUAGUACAUGUUAGUACAGGGUAAAACCGGUUAGUACAUGUUAGUCUGUGUUACGACAUGUUUUGGGUCGCGGGUAAAACCGGUUAGUACAUGUUAUUACAGGGUAAAACUGGUUAGUACAUGUUAGUACAGGGUAAAACCGGUUAGUACAUGUUAGUACAGGGUAAAACCGGUUAGUACAUGUUAGUACAGGGUAAAACCGGUUAGUACAUGUUAGUACAGGGUCAAACCGGUUAGUACAUGUUAGUACAGGGUAAAACCGGUUAGUACAUGUUAGUACAGGGUCUGUGUUACGACAUGUUUUGGGUCGCGGGAAAAGAUGUGCAUUCCAAUUCAAUCUUUAGUGUACUCUGCCGAUCGUUGUCUACAUAUUAUUGUCACAGUUUUCUUACAUAUCCGUAUGGAAAAAAGGAAGUUUACACGUUUUAACUUAAAAAGAAACUAAUCGUAAGUUUAAACUUAUAACUUAACUUAUAAAUGUCUUUCUUUUGUUCAACGUUAAUUCACUGUUAGUUUCAGGGAGUUAUUUUUACUCCACUCAGAGAGUAAAAACUACUCUUUGCGAUGGAGUACUUUUAAAGGAGUAAUUUGAACUCCUUUAUUGGAGUAAAAACUACUCCACUGAGGAGUGAUUUUUUUGUUUACUCCCUUAACGGAGUAAGUUUUACUCUGCUGAGAAUUAGUAUCGAAUGUUUAUUAGAAAAAGAGUAAUUUUCACUCUUGUUGGUCAAAUAAUGGAGUAAAAAGUACUCUUUUCUGGGAGUAAUUUUAGCAGAGUAAAAGCUACUCCAACUAUCUGAAGUGAAAAGAGUUAUUUUUACUCCAGAUGGUCAAGAAAUGGAGUAAAAAAGUACUCCUUUUAGGGGGUAGGUUUUGAAGAGUAAAAACUACUCCAGCCAUCUCGUGUUGAAAGAGUAGUUUUUACUCCAGCUGUAUCUUUUUAGAGCAGUAACAAACCACUCCAAAUAUAUAAAAUAAAGAGAGUUGUUUUUUUACUCUGAAUUAGCUGAAUUUAAGAAGGACAACGAUAGUCUUUAUUAUAUAAGACAAGAUAAAAAUAAUAAUUUAUCGUAUUUAUUGGUAUUGAGACAAAAAACUCUACCCUGUGCCUAGGAGUUUCCUAAGAUUUCCUAAGUUCGAUCAAAACAACAAAAUAUGAUUAAACUUCCUAAAAAUUCCUAGGAUUUCCUAGUAUAAGCAGUAGACCAGAAAAUUGAAAUAAUUUGGAUAAGAAAAUCUUAGGAAGAAGAUUUGAAGUUCUACAAUUUAGGAACUCUUAGGAAAUUCUUAGGAAAUCCUAAAAGAACAUUUUCAAUACAAGAACAGGCCUCGCCAUACUUGCAUAUAUUGUCAGCUAUACUACAACAAUAAGAAAUGUAAUCAAAGACAGGCUUGGACUCGAACAUGAGUUUUAUGUGGUGUACUUUCAAAAUUCGCUCAGAAUAAUUAGUACUGCAUUUAAAAGAAAGAUAGGUAGGGUGAUAAUUGUAUAAAAUUCUUAGAUCCGAUUUGAAUAUUAUAAAAUAAUAUAUAUUGUUUCUAAUAGAAAUGCUACUUGAGAUUAUAUAAAAAAUAGAAGUCCCGCUUUGCAGAUAGAAGACGGCUCACCAGGGCCCGUAAAACCAAAAUGUACCGGGCGUCCCUCGCUUUAGUGGCCGAGAGGGGCUUGGGCCCAAGGCGCAAAAUCAUAACGGUCGAACGAAAGCCAUUAUCAUAACCUCCAAAAGAUAGCCGUUUAUUACCGUCUUUUCUACGCGUAAUCCACCUUUUUUGAGGAUUUGAUGGCAGAACAUGGAUUGAAGUUAAAGGACAUUAUGAUAGAGAUAGUAAAAUGUGCUCGAGUUGAAAGCCAGAAAAGAAAGAAGUUUGAGGUAUAAGGAAUGUAUCAAUGCGUAAAUCGCAAGAAACGAAUAAAAAACUUUGUAAACUUAAGUUAUUCACUAAUCACUGUACUUACAUCUAAAGCGCCUAUGCUUUAUAAACUGUUACUUGAAGCACAAAAUUGAAUAACUUAGCUUAGUAAAAACCUAGUAACCAGUCUUGCACCUAAAAUUUGUCCAGAUAUUUAUUUUGAAUAUCUAAUGUUACUGUAGUUGGUUUUUGUCCGUAUAUUCUGAUCACAGUAAACCCUGCAUAUGAAGAACCUAGUUAUCUUUUCAAGCUAGCCUACCAGGUUCAAAUUUAAAUGGUGCAUAUAGAGGCAUUAGGCUUCUAGCUUCUUAUCUGAAUUUACAAAGAUGGGGGAGGAGGCAGUUCUUUUGGAAAACCGUAAUGACGCCAAAAAGGGUAAUGUUCAAAAGCUGUUAAAGUUGUUAUA
RNA transcript from Nematostella vectensis (starlet sea anemone), 14914 nucleotides. It is a transcript of the gene named dynein axonemal heavy chain 3-like, with no coding region annotated. The record is from RefSeq and is a predicted model, not a curated record. The transcript is spliced from 92 exons. NCBI's taxonomy places the organism in Eukaryota, Metazoa, Cnidaria, Anthozoa, Actiniaria, Edwardsiidae.